Molecule: ribosomal RNA, 497 nt
Filed under: uncultured bacterium
Lineage: Bacteria
Description: partial 16S ribosomal RNA
Rfam family: Bacterial small subunit ribosomal RNA
Source: RNAcentral
GACGAACGCUGGCGGCGUGCCUAAUACAUGCAAGUUGAGCGCUGAAGGUUGGUACUUGUACCAACUGGAUGAGCAGCGAACGGGUGAGUAACGCGUGGGGAAUCUGCCUUUGAGCGGGGGACAACAUUUGGAAACGAAUGCUAAUACCGCAUAAAAACUUUAAACACAAGUUUUAAGUUUGAAAGAUGCAAUUGCAUCACUCAAAGAUGAUCCCGCGUUGUAUUAGCUAGUUGGUGAGGUAAAGGCUCACCAAGGCGAUGAUACAUAGCCGACCUGAGAGGGUGAUCGGCGACGUUGGGACGGGGACACGGCCCAAACUCCUGCGGGAGGCAGCAGGAGGGAAUCUUCGCGGAUGGACGAAAGUCUGAACGAGCAACGCCGCGUGAGUGAAGAAGGUUUUCGGAUCGUAAGACUCUGUUAGUAGAGAGGAACGUUGGUGAGAGUGGAAAGCUCAUCAAGUGACGGUAACUACGCAGAAAGGGACGGCUAACUACGUG